AACAGGAUUAGAUACCCUGGUAGUCCACGCCGUAAACGAUGUCGACUUGGAGGCUGUUCCCUUGAGGAGUGGCUUCCGGAGCUAACGCGUUAAGUCGACCGCCUGGGGAGUACGGCCGCAGGGUUAAAACUCAAAUGAAUUGACGGGGGCCCGCACAAGCGGUGGAGCAUGUGGUUUAAUUCGAUGCAACGCGAAGAACCUUACCUACUCUUGACAUCCAGAGAAUUUAGCAGAGAUGCUUUAGUGCCUUCGGGAACUCUGAGACAGGUGCUGCAUGGCUGUCGUCAGCUCGUGUUGUGAAAUGUUGGGUUAAGUCCCGCAACGAGCGCAACCCUUAUCCUUUGUUGCCAGCGCGUAAUGGCGGGAACUCAAAGGAGACUGCCGGUGAUAAACCGGAGGAAGGUGGGGAUGACGUCAAGUCAUCAUGGCCCUUACGAGUAGGGCUACACACGUGCUACAAUGGCGCAUACAAAGAGAAGCGACCUCGCGAGAGCAAGCGGACCUCAUAAAGUGCGUCGUAGUCCGGAUUGGAGUCUGCAACUCGACUCCAUGAAGUCGGAAUCGCUAGUAAUCGUAAAUCAGAAUGUUACGGUGAAUACGUUCCCGGGCCUUGUACACACCGCCCGUCACACCAUGGGAGUGGGUUGCAAAAGAAGUAGAUAGCUUAACCUUCGGGAGGGCGUUUACCACUUUGUGAUUCAUGACUGGGGUGAGGUCGUAACAAGGUAACCGUAGGGGAACCUGCGGCUGGAUCACCUCCUU
Molecule: ribosomal RNA, 762 nt
Filed under: uncultured bacterium
Lineage: Bacteria
Description: bacterial SSU rRNA
Rfam family: Bacterial small subunit ribosomal RNA
Source: RNAcentral